CCUACGGGAGGCAGCAGUGGGGAAUAUUGGGCAAUGGGCGCAAGCCUGACCCAGCAACGCCGCGUGAAGGAAGAAGGCUUUCGGGUUGUAAACUUCUUUUCUCAGGGACGAAGAAAGUGACGGUACCUGAGGAAUAAGCCACGGCUAACUACGUGCCAGCAGCCGCGGUAAUACGUAGGUGGCAAGCGUUAUCCGGAUUUAUUGGGUGUAAAGGGCGUGUAGGCGGGAGCGCAAGUCAGAUGUGAAAACUCAGGGCUCAACCCUGAGCCUGCAUUUGAAACUGUGUUUCUUGAGUGCUGGGGAGGCAAUCGGAAUUCCGUGUGUAGCGGUGAGAUGCGUAGAUAUACGGAGGAACACCAGUGGCGAAGGCGGAUUGCUGGACAGUAACUGACGCUGAGGCGCGAAAGCGUGGGGAGCAAACAGGAUUAGAUACCCCGGUAGUC
RNAcentral lists this ribosomal RNA (443 nucleotides) under uncultured bacterium. Its description in RNAcentral is "partial 16S ribosomal RNA". It matches the Rfam family "Bacterial small subunit ribosomal RNA", at positions 338 to 795 of the family's 1533-position model. The record is from RNAcentral.